Molecule: long non-coding RNA, 3999 nt
Organism: Bombus terrestris (buff-tailed bumblebee)
Lineage: Eukaryota; Metazoa; Arthropoda; Insecta; Hymenoptera; Apidae
Exons: 3
Source: RefSeq, a predicted model, not a curated record
UCAGAUGUAUUCGAAAAAGUGCUCAUAUUUUUUCUUCUUUUUCCUGUUUGCAUUAAAUGCAAGCUUUUGGACGUAAACGUUGAGCUGCAUCGUUAUGCGAUGAAAUAGCGUAAAAGCGGACUUAAGUUUCUAAGUUCGUUACUGCGUGUGUGUUUGUGUGUGUAUGUUCAUCAAAUGUGCGAGACAAAAUGCAUGAAAGUUUUAAAUGAAAAUUGCAAAUGAUACGCCGACGAAGUUCUCGUACUUAGUAUAAGAAUAAAUUUCUUUUAGCGUUCUUCCAGGCUUUUUAGUCAUUUGUACUUUUUCUGCAUCUUUAAUUAAAGAUUACAGGAGAAAAACAAGAUAAGUGAAAUUUCCUACCUUUCACAGGGAAGCCGUUCUAAAAUCCAAUAGCUUAACCAAUCAAUCUUACACUAUCGAAAUUGUCUUUUUAUUUGGCUUUAGAGCUAAACAUAUGUUCCUCAGAAAAUGAAGAAAAAUGUGCUCAUAGUGUUUUUUCCCUGUGUUAUUCUAUUAAUAAGAAAUACAAAUGAAAUGAUAUUUAGCUGUACGAAUCAGACCGUACAGAUACAAUUCUCCAGGUUGUAACCGGUGGUGAUUGGGAAACAUUUUUUUUUCCAAUAUUCUCAUUCUCUUUGUGUGUAACCAAUGAGAGAGAAGUCUCAGGCCGCGAAAACUCAUCCGUUGUGGCACUUCGAUUUUUCCCCGACCCCGUGAUAACUUUUUCCCGCAAACCAUACGGAAAUAUCCGCCGCGAACGCGUGGCAAGCCACGAGGUGAAUGACAGUUGCGGACAGUUCGUACACAAGCACGUUCCACUGACCCUGGGUUGAAACGAUUCGAACGAGCUCGGAAACAACCGACCCUUGCUUGCACGUGCUCUCUCUCCCGUGGACUUUCUGUACUUUUGGUCGACGCUGUUCCCCGACUAGAACUGUCCGAAGAAAGCCGCACACCGUUCACGGAGAUAUUAGGAUAAGUUUCAUUCAUACAAACUUUGGAACAAAUCUCGACCUUCGGAAACCGUGACGGUGCGAAGUCUACGAGCGGCGUUCGGACUCAAGCAAACUGAAUUUAAUUUCCAUUAAACUCGCAAGUUUAUUAUAUGGAUGAAGAAUUUCUUCCAGGUUAACGAGUUUAAAUGUCCUGAUAAAAUUUUGCUCUUUUGAUAAUAAAUUGUAAGGCCGUGAUUUCUCAUUUGUUUCGUUGUGUUUCAUGAUACACAAGACUUAGCCUAUGAUAUACUUAACGAGAACAAAGUUAGAUCUAUGUGAAGGGCGCAUAGAGGAAUAUUUCAGUUUUUGUUGAUCUUUUAAUUUUCAUGUUAUUUGUUAGCUAUGAUAGUUGGAAAGGGAACAACUUGUUACAUUCCAAGAUAUAUACAAAUCUUUUAAAAAUAGAUGAACAGAUUAUUGAAUUUAAAAAUUGCUUAUCAUAUUUAUCUCUGUGAUGAUCACAUGUAACGUUAGCUCAAAAUCGAGGAAGAAAACAAAAUUGUGAAUAGGAUAGUUUUGGUAAUAUGGCUCUAAUUACUGAAUUCUAGGAUUGUUCCUUUAUUUGUAAAGAUAAGGUAUAAUUGUGCAAAGAAAUAAGAUUGCGAAUAGGAUAGUAUAAAGACCAUAACUCAGAACAUCAGGAGAUCCGAACACAAAGGGAAACUUUCGAAAAUAUCGGCGAAAAGUUUGAAAAGUAUCGCGACUGUUCGUGGAUUGUUCGCAGCUGUUCCUAAGUGGACUCGGAAGCUUCGGAGUUCAUGGCACACAGAAACAAGUUGGAUCUGCGGAAAGGCACGAAGGGAAGGCCAGAAGAGCAAGUUCGUGGUUGGCUGGAGCGGGGUGGCAUGAGGAGGUAGAUGAGAACGAAGCACGGAGGGAGAAGCCACGUACGAAAGAGAGAGGGAGAAUAGGUCGAUACGGUAAACUAUUGUCUGGUGGGUGAAGUGUUCACGAGAACUGGGCGGAAGACAGCUUUGCGCUGGUUACGUGCAUUCUCUGCUUCGCAUGAAACGCGAAGAUAUGACAUGCUCGUCACCGCAACGAUGUUCAAGCGCGUCCAAGAAACCCCGCACCUCCAUCUACGCCCGCGUAACCUUUUGCGCCUGGUCCCUCGAUCGAUACUGGUGCACGAAUCGAAUCGUUCUACGCGUUAUUACCGACCGAGAAUACGCUGCAAUAUUGUCCGUGAUUUAAUUCGUUUUGUCUUCUAUUUUCUCUAAAGGGCUAUUUCUCAUGAUUUAAUUAUCCCAUUUUAUUGAUCGUUAAAUCUCAGUAACGUCCUACGUACGUAUUUUUAUAAAAAUUGGUGCUGCAUUGCAAGAAUAAAAGUGAAAUAAAAAUUGGUUUUUAAAAUGGAAACGUGAUAUUUCUACGCAGUACUAUUGCAGAUAUGUUUUGAUUGAAGAUUUGAUAUUUACCUGAAGAGUGGUUAACAGCGAAAAACAGUUUCAUUUCUUCUAAUAAAUUAAAUCGACGCACUUAAAAUUAGUAUCGUUUAUCCUACACUUUUAAUUUAUUGAAAGAAUUUUUUCUAUUUUUCCAAAGUCCAGAAUCUUUUAAAUAAUAUAUCAAAUCAAAAUACUAGCUACGUAUAUAGAUAUUUUGUUGUGUUUAAUAAUCAAAGAAAUUUCCGUAUUUGUUCCCUAAUAAGGAAACAAUUAGAUCGCCCCUACUUAAUUUAUGAAGGUUCGAUAGCGUGCAGCGACGCCCUCUACAAUCGAAUCGUUUGGCGGGAGUAUCGAAGAAAUUGCGAUAAUCGCAGUACAAAAUUCGUUAUGAAACUAAUUUGUGCAAGUAUACUACGUACACAAAGGCAGUUUGGCGUGCAGCAGUGCGCAACAAUCCUACAUCGAAGUGUGUUUGCCGAUUGUCAUCGGGGGAUGGAGAGGUACAUUGGCAGCAACGCUGAUGUGGGUUUCGAUCGUGAAACCACUGUCUAAAUAUGGAAUAAACCUGAUAUUAUAUGGAUUUUCGUAUUUCGCGUUCUGAAAUAUCUAUCUCGAAAGAGACUGGAUUAUUUCUUACGAUCUGUGCGACUCAUAUUUAUAUGUGAAGCAUAUUUAAUUCAAUCAUCGAGAACAAUAAAAGUGGACUUGGCACCUUACGGAACAUCGCGUCACAUGUUCUGUAAUACCGACCAUUCAGAGGUUUUAUUACGCCCUCUACAAUUUAUAACGUUGGGUAGAGUGUAAUUAGUCCGUUUGUCCAUAUAUUUAAACGAAAUUUUAAUUAGUGGGCAAUUAAAUAAAUUUCUUCUAAUUGGAUUGAUUUAUCUGAACUUGAAUGUCUACUAUGAACGAGAAAUCGUAAGUAAUAAGGAGAACCAGUAAGCUCGUAUUAUAUGGACUUCAGUUAUAUGAACUACUUGUCCUGCAGCAGAUUCAAAUAAACGGAAUGUCGGAAUAUUUUAUACUCAAUACAAACACGAAAAUGAAUAAAAUUAGAGAUAUUGACAAUGUACUGUGGUUAUCGGUGGACAAAAUAAACGUAACAUGAAAUACUUUCUUGUAUCCCACAAUUUAAAGGUUUGUAUGUAAUUAUGAAAUCGUACAUUAUUGUUGUAGAGAAUAUAAAGAAUUCUAUCCAUCUAUAUGAUACGCGUUCAUAAUAGCAUUUGCACAGAUUGAAUUAACGGUAGAUUAAAAUAGUAAUUUUGUACUUGAUAGAAGAUGCUUCAAUGCUGUGUACUUUGUAUGUAAUAAGACCAUGUGAAACUAACCUUUAUGCCGACCACCGAUAAUUAACAUUCGAAUUAAAUGCGGAAGUUAACUAAUAAAUUCAUGCUUUACGAAAAAAAAAUUUGUUACGAUUGAAUCUUCUACUGAAUGUGAUAUGUAAAUCUUCGUUCUAAUCUCUUAUGUAAAUUUGAAUCUAUUAAUGAAACGAUCUGAUGAUUUUUGAAAACAUAAAUGCGUAAUUAAAAGGAUGGUAUUAUAAUUAUGCUCUUUUCUGUGGAAUUUGUGUAUAUAAUAUUGAAAUAGUAAAAUAUGAGAUAGUAAGGUUA